AUUAAACGCUGGCGGCAUGCCUUACACAUGCAAGUCGAACGGCAGCACGGGGGCAACCCUGGUGGCGAGUGGCGGACGGGUGAGUAAUGCAUCGGAACGUGCCCUGAAGUGGGGGAUAACGCAGCGAAAGCUACGCUAAUACCGCAUAUUCUGUGAGCAGGAAAGCAGGGGAUCGCAAGACCUUGCGCUUUGGGAGCGGCCGAUGUCGGAUUAGCUAGUUGGUGGGGUAAAGGCCUACCAAGGCGACGAUCCGUAGCGGGUCUGAGAGGAUGAUCCGCCACACUGGGACUGAGACACGGCCCAGACUCCUACGGGAGGCAGCAGUGGGGAAUUUUGGACAAUGGGCGGAAGCCUGAUCCAGCCAUGCCGCGUGAGUGAAGAAGGCCU
Molecule: ribosomal RNA, 387 nt
Filed under: uncultured bacterium
Lineage: Bacteria
Description: bacterial SSU rRNA
Rfam family: Bacterial small subunit ribosomal RNA
Source: RNAcentral